CCUACGGGAGGCAGCAGUAGGGAAUAUUGCUCAAUGGGGGAAACCCUGAAGCAGCAACGCCGCGUGGAGGAUGAAGGUUUUCGGAUUGUAAACUCCUUUUGUUAGAGAAGAUAAUGACGGUAUCUAACGAAUAAGCACCGGCUAACUCCGUGCCAGCAGCCGCGGUAAUACGGAGGGUGCAAGCGUUACUCGGAAACACUGGGCGUAAAGAGCGCGUAGGCGGGAUAGCAAGUCAGAGGUGAAAUCCUAGGGCUUAACCAUAGAACUGCAUUUGAAACUGUUAUUCUAGAGUAUGGGAGAGGUAGGUGGAAUUCUUGGUGUAGGGGUAAAAUCCGUAGAGAUCAAGAGGAAUACUCAUUGCGAAGGCGGCCUGCUAGAACAUAACUGACGCUGAUGCGCGAAAGCGUGGGGAGCAAACAGGAUUAGAUACCCCUGUAGUC
RNAcentral lists this ribosomal RNA (440 nucleotides) under uncultured bacterium. RNAcentral's name for it is "partial 16S ribosomal RNA". It matches the Rfam family "Bacterial small subunit ribosomal RNA", at positions 338 to 795 of the family's 1533-position model. The record is from RNAcentral.